CCCGACCUACGGGGGGCAGCAGUCGAGAAUCAUUCACAAUGGGGGAAACCCUGAUGGUGCGACGCCGCGUGGGGGAAUGAAGGUCUUCGGAUUGUAAACCCCUGUCAUGUGGGAGCAAAUUAAAAAGAUAGUACCACAAGAGGAAGAGACGGCUAACUCUGUGCCAGCAGCCGCGGUAAUACAGAGGUCUCAAGCGUUGUUCGGACUCACUGGGCGUAAAUCGUGCGUGGGCUGUUUCGUAAGUCGUGUGUGAAAGGCGCGGGCUCAACCCGCGGACGGCCCAU
This 284-nucleotide ribosomal RNA is filed under the name uncultured bacterium. RNAcentral describes it as "partial 16S ribosomal RNA". It matches the Rfam family "Bacterial small subunit ribosomal RNA", at positions 331 to 628 of the family's 1533-position model. The record is from RNAcentral.